RNAcentral lists this ribosomal RNA (382 nucleotides) under Bacillus pumilus. Its description in RNAcentral is "bacterial SSU rRNA". It matches the Rfam family "Bacterial small subunit ribosomal RNA", at positions 1010 to 1387 of the family's 1533-position model. The record is from RNAcentral. Lineage: Bacteria; Bacillati; Bacillota; Bacilli; Caryophanales; Bacillaceae.
GGCUUUCCCUUCCGGACAGAGUGACAGGUGGUGCAUGGUUGUCGUCAGCUCGUGUCGUGAGAUGUUGGGUUAAGUCCCGCAACGAGCGCAACCCUUGAUCUUAGUUGCCAGCAUUCAGUUGGGCACUCUAAGGUGACUGCCGGUGACAAACCGGAGGAAGGUGGGGAUGACGUCAAAUCAUCAUGCCCCUUAUGACCUGGGCUACACACGUGCUACAAUGGACAGAACAAAGGGCUGCGAGACCGCAAGGUUUAGCCAAUCCCACAAAUCUGUUCUCAGUUCGGAUCGCACUCUGCAACUCGACUGCGUGAACCUGGAAUCGCUAGUAAUCGCGGAUCAGCAUGCCGCGGUGAAUACGUUCCCGGGUCUUGUACACAACCGA